This 73-nucleotide transfer RNA is filed under the name Bos taurus (domestic cattle). It matches the Rfam family "tRNA". From Rfam's summary of the family: Transfer RNA (tRNA) molecules are approximately 80 nucleotides in length. Their secondary structure includes four short double-helical elements and three loops (D, anti-codon, and T loops). Further hydrogen bonds mediate the characteristic L-shaped molecular structure. tRNAs have two regions of fundamental functional importance: the anti-codon, which is responsible for specific mRNA codon recognition, and the 3' end, to which the tRNAs corresponding amino acid is attached (by aminoacyl-tRNA synthetases). tRNAs cope with the degeneracy of the genetic code in two manners: having more than one tRNA (with a specific anti-codon) for a particular amino acid; and 'wobble' base-pairing, i.e. permitting non-standard base-pairing at the 3rd anti-codon position. Lineage: Eukaryota; Metazoa; Chordata; Mammalia; Artiodactyla; Bovidae. The record is from Rfam by way of RNAcentral. RNAcentral also lists the same sequence under 5 other names.
UCCUUGGUGGUGCAGUGGUUAGGACUCCACGCUCCCAAUAUGAGGGGCCUGGGUUCAAUUCCUGGCUGGGGAA